This 254-nucleotide ribosomal RNA is filed under the name uncultured bacterium. RNAcentral describes it as "partial 16S ribosomal RNA". It matches the Rfam family "Bacterial small subunit ribosomal RNA", at positions 524 to 776 of the family's 1533-position model. The record is from RNAcentral.
UACGUAGGGUGCAAGCGUUAAUCGGAAUUACUGGGCGUAAAGGGCGCGUAGGCGGUCGUGACAAGUCACUUGUGAAAUCUCCGGGCUUAACUCGGAACGGUCAAGUGAUACUGUCGGACUAGAGUACAGAAGGGGCAACUGGAAUUCUCGGUGUAGCGGUGAAAUGCGUAGAUAUCGAGAGGAACACCUGCGGCGAAGGCGGGUUGCUGGGCUGAUACUGACGCUGAGGCGCGAAAGCUAGGGUAGCAAACGGG